Ananas comosus (pineapple) is the source of this 1050-nucleotide long non-coding RNA. RefSeq lists it as uncharacterized. The record is from RefSeq and is a predicted model, not a curated record. The transcript has 3 exons. NCBI's taxonomy places the organism in Eukaryota, Viridiplantae, Streptophyta, Magnoliopsida, Poales, Bromeliaceae.
UCGGCGGCGGGUAACGUCGCGGGAGCGAAAUCGCUCGAAAUAUACCGCCCUCGCCCUACCGCCCUCGCGCGGCAUUUUAGGGUUUUCAAAAUGUGAUCGCCACUUCGUCCUCCUCUCCUCUCCCACGCCAUCGCCAUGGCUCCCUUGACCUCGAGCUCGAGCUCGAGCCCCCGCUUCCUCUCCUUCCUUAACUCCACUCCACAAGCCCUCCUCCAAUGGUAGCAAAAGGUGCGCGCGUGUUAAUAAUUAUCAUCUUGUGCACACUAGGGUUCUUAUCAAACAUGCGCGAGCACAAUCAACCACCAGGAGCAUGAUGUUUUUCUCGAUUUACCUUGGUCAGAUGGGCUUGACAUUGAAGCUAUAUAUAGGUAGCGCUCACUGAUAUUCAUUAACUCAUACUUGUUUGAGGAAAAGUCCGAAGCAUAUCCAUGAAGACCUCACCGACACUUCUCACCAUAUUUGCUUUGAUGAUGAUCUUCCAGAAAGCUCCUGCAGAUGGCAUAGGAGCUCAGGAGGAUGCAUUGGUCUUUACUCUUCGAGGAGUAAAGACCAAUGAACAUGCACUGCCACGUAAGUAUCUUCACUUCCGUGUUAAUAGCAAGGAUGAUGCAGAAAACAAGUUAGAUAUCAAGAGUCUUGUGAGGAAUACGGAAAAGAACCCGGUGGAUUCAGCGACUAGCCAUGUACAAGAAGCCACAAGCAAUGGGAGCAAUAGUACGAACGGCGAUGCAGCAAAUAACAAUGGAAAUGCAACCGACUUUCGUCCUUCUAGCAUAUCUGUUGACAAUUCGCACCGCCGGCCAACAAUCAAUAAUUUGUGCGAUUGGUCUCCUGUUCCGUGUCAUUAGAACCAUGGUGAUGGACUUGGUAACUUCAAGUUAAGGGGAUGCAGUGUGUUUAAGCAAUAUAUAUAUACAUAAAGACCUUAUGCUAUAGUAUGUUUGUGGUUUGCUACCAGAUCUAUGUAUUUCUGGACAAAGUGGCCUUCUGGUCAUGUACAGUGUGAACUAUAAUUAAAUAAAUGUCCAUGACUACUACCUUGUUUGCGUA